ACAACACGGAACACAGCUAUUAAUCAAUGCUUGCGCUCUUACAGCGCUGAAGACCGUGUGGCUAGCUAGCAGAUUACUUGACCACUGACUAGACUAUGCACAAAUAUGGAUGGCACAGGUUAGAACUGAAAAGGAAUAGGCUACUCAAAUACAUUCUUGAAAAGCUAUUUCAUUGGGGGGCACCAGGACCCAGGUCAAACCAACACUGCCUCUUUCCCCAGGCAGGCAGGCCGGCCAGGUGGGAAGAAAUAUAACAGACCGGAAAGAGUUCAAGACUACCGUGGGUCCCCAUAACACGAAGGAGUCUGAACCUCGUGUUGCAAUAAGAAAAUACAACAGUCUGACUACCGUUUGUACAGUACACAUCUGAUGAAGUGAACCCAUAAACUAGUUUCCACUGUUCAGUGGGACGCUCAGACUGAUCCAGCUACUGUAGAUGAACAACAGCAGGCCAGCCAGGAGGUGGACGUGCAAAGGAUGUUUUCCACACCCGUGCAAACAAUAACACACGGACCAGACUACUCAUUCACUUCAACAAGACUGAUACAGCUAGCUAUUGAUGUUUAACUGCAGGUCAAAUCAAAUAUUAUUGUAGGUGCUGUCACGUUCUGACCUUAGUUCUUUUGUUAUGUCUUUGUUUUUGUACGGUCAGGGUGUGAGUUGG
Long non-coding RNA from Oncorhynchus gorbuscha (pink salmon), 664 nucleotides. RefSeq lists it as uncharacterized. NCBI's taxonomy places the organism in Eukaryota, Metazoa, Chordata, Actinopteri, Salmoniformes, Salmonidae. The transcript is spliced from 3 exons. The record is from RefSeq and is a predicted model, not a curated record.